UACGUAGGGUGCGAGCGUUGUCCGGAAUUACUGGGCGUAAAGGGCUCGUAGGCGGCCAACUAAGUCGGACGUGAAAUCCCUCAGCUUAACUGGGGAACUGCGUCCGAUACUGGAUGGCUUGGAUUUGGGAGAGGGAUGCGGAAUUCCAGGUGUAGCGGUGAAAUGCGUAGAUAUCUGGAGGAACACCGGUGGCGAAGGCGGCAUCCUGGACCAAUAUUGACGCUGAGGAGCGAAAGCCAGGGGAGCAAACGGG
Molecule: ribosomal RNA, 253 nt
Filed under: uncultured bacterium
Lineage: Bacteria
Description: partial 16S ribosomal RNA
Rfam family: Bacterial small subunit ribosomal RNA
Source: RNAcentral